This 254-nucleotide ribosomal RNA is filed under the name uncultured bacterium. RNAcentral's name for it is "partial 16S ribosomal RNA". It matches the Rfam family "Bacterial small subunit ribosomal RNA", at positions 524 to 776 of the family's 1533-position model. The record is from RNAcentral.
CACGUAGGGUGCGAGCGUUGUCCGGAAUUAUUGGGCGUAAAGAGCUCGUAGGCGGUGUGUCGCGUCGGCCGUGAAAACCUGGGGCUUAACUCUGGGCGUGCGGUCGAUACGGGCAUCACUGGAGUUCGGCAGGGGAGACUGGAAUUCCUGGUGUAGCGGUGAAAUGCGCAGAUAUCAGGAGGAACACCGGUGGCGAAAGCGGUUCACUGGCCCGACACUGACACUGAGGUGCGAAAGCUAGGGUAGCAAACGGG